RNAcentral lists this ribosomal RNA (1343 nucleotides) under uncultured bacterium. RNAcentral's name for it is "16S ribosomal RNA". It matches the Rfam family "Bacterial small subunit ribosomal RNA", at positions 28 to 1378 of the family's 1533-position model. The record is from RNAcentral.
GACGAACGCUGGCGGCGUGCUUAACACAUGCAAGUCGAACGGAAAGGCCCUGCUUUUGUGGGGUGCUCGAGUGGCGAACGGGUGAGUAGCACGUGAGUAACCUGCCCUUGACUUUGGGAUAACUUCAGGAAACUGGGGCUAAUACCGGAUAGGAGCUCCUGCUGCAUGGUGGGGGUUGGAAAGUUUCGGCGGUUGGGGAUGGACUCGCGGCUUAUCAGCUUGUUGGUGGGGUAGUGGCUUACCAAGGCUUUGACGGGUAGCCGGCCUGAGAGGGUGACCGGCCACAUUGGGACUGAGAUACGGCCCAGACUCCUACGGGAGGCAGCAGUGGGGAAUAUUGCACAAUGGGCGGAAGCCUGAUGCAGCAACGCCGCGUGCGGGAUGACGGCCUUCGGGUUGUAAACCGCUUUCGCCUGUGACGAAGCGUGAGUGACGGUAAUGGGUAAAGAAGCACCGGCUAACUACGUGCCAGCAGCCGCGGUGAUACGUAGGGUGCGAGCGUUGUCCGGAUUUAUUGGGCGUAAAGGGCUCGUAGGUGGUUGAUCGCGUCGGAAGUGUAAUCUUGGGGCUUAACCCUGAGCGUGCUUUCGAUACGGGUUGACUUGAGGAAGGUAGGGGAGAAUGGAAUUCCUGGUGGAGCGGUGGAAUGCGCAGAUAUCAGGAGGAACACCAGUGGCGAAGGCGGUUCUCUGGGCCUUUCCUGACGCUGAGGAGCGAAAGCGUGGGGAGCGAACAGGCUUAGAUACCCUGGUAGUCCACGCUGUAAACGGUGGGUACUAGGUGUGGGGUCCAUUCCACGGGUUCCGUGCCGUAGCUAACGCUUUAAGUACCCCGCCUGGGGAGUACGGCCGCAAGGCUAAAACUCAAAGGAAUUGACGGGGCCCCGCACAAGCGGCGGAGCAUGCGGAUUAAUUCGAUGCAACGCGUAGAACCUUACCUGGGUUUGACAUGGAUCGGGAGUGCUCAGAGAUGGGUGUGCCUCUUUUGGGGUCGGUUCACAGGUGGUGCAUGGCUGUCGUCAGCUCGUGUCGUGAGAUGUUGGGUUAAGUCCCGCAACGAGCGCAACCCUUGUUCACUGUUGCCAGCACGUUAUGGUGGGGACUCAGUGGAGACCGCCGGGGUCAACUCGGAGGAAGGUGGGGAUGACGUCAAGUCAUCAUGCCCCUUAUGUCCAGGGCUUCACGCAUGCUACAAUGGCUGGUACAGAGAGUGGCGAGCCUGUGAGGGUGAGCGAAUCUCGGAAAGCCGGUCUCAGUUCGGAUUGGGGUCUGCAACUCGAUCUCAUGAAGUCGGAGUCGCUAGUAAUCGCAGAUCAGCAACGCUGCGGUGAAUACGUUCCCGGG